RNAcentral lists this microRNA (21 nucleotides) under Macaca fascicularis (crab-eating macaque). RNAcentral describes it as "novel_miR95-3p". The record is from RNAcentral. Lineage: Eukaryota; Metazoa; Chordata; Mammalia; Primates; Cercopithecidae.
CCUCCCAUGCUAAGAACUCCU